UCUAAGGUUAUACCUGCCCACUGUACAUAUAUGGGAUUAACGGCCGCGGUACCUUGACCGUGCUAAGGUAGCGUAAUCAAUUGGCUUCUAAUUAGGGUCAGGAAUGAAUGGAGUCACGUGGUUUAGCUGUCUCCUAAAUAUUUACUUGAAAUUACUAUGUAGAUGAAAAAGUCUACAGCUAGAAAAAAGACGAGAAGACCCUUAGAGUUUUACUUAAUGUGAUAUUUAUAUAAUCACAAUGGUUUUGUUGGGGCAACGUGAGAGCAAAAGCUUAUAGUAAUCUCUCGAAUAACACUAACCGAUUAUUUUAAACACGGAAAAAUUACCUUAGGGAUAACAGCAUUAUGUAAUAAAUAAGUUUGUGACCUCGAUGUUGGACUGGGAAAUUUAAAGGCUAGCCGUUUUUAAAGAAAGUUCUGUUCGAACUAUUAUUCCC
This 436-nucleotide ribosomal RNA is filed under the name Felimare pinna. RNAcentral describes it as "partial large subunit ribosomal RNA". It matches the Rfam family "Bacterial large subunit ribosomal RNA", at positions 1846 to 2596 of the family's 2925-position model. Lineage: Eukaryota; Metazoa; Mollusca; Gastropoda; Nudibranchia; Chromodorididae. The record is from RNAcentral.